CGGGGUGCACCAGGCGCGAAAACUUUGCAAUACACGAAAGUGUGACAGGGCUAUCCCGAGUGCCAUCCGCUGAGGAAGGCUUUUACCCAGUCUAGAACGCUGGGGGAAUAAGGAGAGGGCAAGUCUGGUGUCAGCCGCCGCGGUAAUACCAGCUCUCCGAGUGGUGUGGAUGUUUAUUGGGCCUAAAGCAUCCGUAGCUGGCUAAGUUAGUCCCUUGUUAAAUCCACCGAAUUAAUCGUUGGAUUGCGGGGGAUACUGCUUGGCUAGGGGACGAGAGAGGCAGACGGUAUUUCCGGGGUAGGGGUGAAAUCCUAUAAUCCCGGGAAGGCCACCAGUGGCGAAGGCUGUCUGCUAGAACGCGCCCGACGGUGAGGGAUGAAAGCUGGGGGAGCGAACCGGAUUAGAUACCCGGGUAGUCCCAGCUGUAAACGAUGCAGGCUAGGUGUUUGGACGGCCACGUGCCGUUCUAGUGCCGCAGGGAAGCUGUUAAGCCUGCCGCCUGGGGAGUACGAUCGCAAGAUUGAAACUUAAAGGAAUUGGCGGGGGAGCACAAGGGCGAAUCGCGG
RNAcentral lists this ribosomal RNA (566 nucleotides) under uncultured archaeon. RNAcentral's name for it is "bacterial SSU rRNA". It matches the Rfam family "Archaeal small subunit ribosomal RNA", at positions 326 to 900 of the family's 1478-position model. The record is from RNAcentral.